GAUGAACGCUGACAGAAUGCUUAACACAUGCCAGUCAUUGGCGAAGCUGCGCUUGCGCAGUCUAGCCAAGGCGGACGGGUGAGUAACGCGUAAGGAACUUGCCCUGCAGACAGGGAUAACAGACGGAAACGACUGAUAACACCUGGUAUUGUCAGGCUGGCGCAUACCGGCCUGAUGAAAGGAGACGCUGCAGGAGAGCCUUGCGUCCUAUUAGCUAGUUGGUGGGGUAACGGCCCACCAAGGCGAUGAUAGGUAGCCGGCCUGAGAGGGUGAACGGCCACAAGGGGACUGAGAUACGGCCCUUACUCCUACGGGAGGCAGCAGUGGAGAAUAUUGGACAAUGGGGGCAACCCUGAUCCAGCAAUUCUGUGUGCACGAAGAAGGUUUUCGGAUUGUAAAGUGCUUUCAGCAGGGAAGAAGAAAGUGACGGUACCUGCAGAAGAAGCGACGGCUAAAUACGUG
Molecule: ribosomal RNA, 462 nt
Filed under: uncultured bacterium
Lineage: Bacteria
Description: partial 16S ribosomal RNA
Rfam family: Bacterial small subunit ribosomal RNA
Source: RNAcentral